GUUUUAUGGAUAUUAAUUUUAAAUUUGACCUGCUCUAUGAUUUAUUAAAUGGCUGCAGUAUUUUAACUGUACUAAGGUAGCAUAAUAAUUUGUCUUUUAAUUGAAGGCUAGAAUGAAUGGUUUGAUGAAAAAUUAACUUUUUUAUUUUAAUAUUUUGAAUUUAAUUUUUUAGUUAAAAAGCUAAAAUUUUUUUAUAGGACGAGAAGACCCUAUAGAAUUUUAUUUUUUUUAUAUUUUUAUUUUUUUUGUUGAUUUUAUUUUAAAAUUAUAUUAAUAAUUUUGUUGGGGUGAUGUAAAAAUUUUUUUAACUUUUUAUUUAUUUUUCAUUAAUUUAUGUUUUUAUGAUCCUAAUUUUUAGAUUAAAAGAUUAAAUUACCUUAGGGAUAACAGCGUUAUUUUUUUUGAUAGUUCUUAUUGAUGAAAAAGUUUGCGA
This 433-nucleotide ribosomal RNA is filed under the name Mesovelia horvathi. RNAcentral describes it as "partial 16S ribosomal RNA". The record is from RNAcentral. Lineage: Eukaryota; Metazoa; Arthropoda; Insecta; Hemiptera; Mesoveliidae.